Molecule: ribosomal RNA, 2770 nt
Filed under: Klebsiella pneumoniae
Lineage: Bacteria; Pseudomonadati; Pseudomonadota; Gammaproteobacteria; Enterobacterales; Enterobacteriaceae
Description: partial 23S ribosomal RNA
Rfam family: Bacterial large subunit ribosomal RNA
Source: RNAcentral
CACUAUCGUUAACUGAAUACAUAGGUUAACGAGGCGAACCGGGGGAACUGAAACAUCUAAGUACCCCGAGGAAAAGAAAUCAACCGAGAUUCCCCCAGUAGCGGCGAGCGAACGGGGAGCAGCCCAGAGUCUGAAUCAGCUUGUGUGUUAGUGGAACGGUCUGGAAAGUCCGACGGUACAGGGUGAUAGUCCCGUACACCAAAAUGCACAGGUUGUGAACUCGAAGAGUAGGGCGGGACACGUGGUAUCCUGUCUGAAUAUGGGGGGACCAUCCUCCAAGGCUAAAUACUCCUGACUGACCGAUAGUGAACCAGUACCGUGAGGGAAAGGCGAAAAGAACCCCGGCGAGGGGAGUGAAAAAGAACCUGAAACCGUGUACGUACAAGCAGUGGGAGCACCUUCGGGUGUGACUGCGUACCUUUUGUAUAAUGGGUCAGCGACUUAUAUUCUGUAGCAAGGUUAACCGUAUAGGGGAGCCGCAGGGAAACCGAGUCUUAACUGGGCGUUAAGUUGCAGGGUAUAGACCCGAAACCCGGUGAUCUAGCCAUGGGCAGGUUGAAGGUUGGGUAACACUAACUGGAGGACCGAACCGACUAAUGUUGAAAAAUUAGCGGAUGACUUGUGGCUGGGGGUGAAAGGCCAAUCAAACCGGGAGAUAGCUGGUUCUCCCCGAAAGCUAUUUAGGUAGCGCCUCGUGAAUUCAUCUUCGGGGGUAGAGCACUGUUUCGGCUAGGGGGUCAUCCCGACUUACCAACCCGAUGCAAACUACGAAUACCGAAGAAUGUUAUCACGGGAGACACACGGCGGGUGCUAACGUCCGUCGUGAAGAGGGAAACAACCCAGACCGCCAGCUAAGGUCCCAAAGUCAUGGUUAAGUGGGAAACGAUGUGGGAAGGCACAGACAGCCAGGAUGUUGGCUUAGAAGCAGCCAUCAUUUAAAGAAAGCGUAAUAGCUCACUGGUCGAGUCGGCCUGCGCGGAAGAUGUAACGGGGCUAAACCAUGCACCGAAGCUGCGGCAGCGACACUAUGUGUUGUUGGGUAGGGGAGCGUUCUGUAAGCCUGCGAAGGUGUGCUGUGAGGCAUGCUGGAGGUAUCAGAAGUGCGAAUGCUGACAUAAGUAACGAUAAAGCGGGUGAAAAGCCCGCUCGCCGGAAGACCAAGGGUUCCUGUCCAACGUUAAUCGGGGCAGGGUGAGUCGACCCCUAAGGCGAGGCCGAAAGGCGUAGUCGAUGGGAAACAGGUUAAUAUUCCUGUACUUGGUGUUACUGCGAAGGGGGGACGGAGAAGGCUAUGUUAGCCGGGCGACGGUUGUCCCGGUUUAAGCAUGUAGGCUGGUUGUCCAGGCAAAUCCGGAUAAUCAAGGCUGAGGUGUGAUGACGAGGCACUACGGUGCUGAAGUAACAAAUGCCCUGCUUCCAGGAAAAGCCUCUAAGCAUCAGGUAACAUCAAAUCGUACCCCAAACCGACACAGGUGGUCAGGUAGAGAAUACCAAGGCGCUUGAGAGAACUCGGGUGAAGGAACUAGGCAAAAUGGUGCCGUAACUUCGGGAGAAGGCACGCUGGUGUGUAGGUGAAGUCCCUGCGGAUGGAGCUGAGACCAGUCGAAGAUACCAGCUGGCUGCAACUGUUUAUUAAAAACACAGCACUGUGCAAACACGAAAGUGGACGUAUACGGUGUGACGCCUGCCCGGUGCCGGAAGGUUAAUUGAUGGGGUUAUCCGUAAGGAGAAGCUCUUGAUCGAAGCCCCGGUAAACGGCGGCCGUAACUAUAACGGUCCUAAGGUAGCGAAAUUCCUUGUCGGGUAAGUUCCGACCUGCACGAAUGGCGUAAUGAUGGCCAGGCUGUCUCCACCCGAGACUCAGUGAAAUUGAACUCGCUGUGAAGAUGCAGUGUACCCGCGGCAAGACGGAAAGACCCCGUGAACCUUUACUAUAGCUUGACACUGAACAUUGAGCCUUGAUGUGUAGGAUAGGUGGGAGGCUUUGAAGCGUGGACGCCAGUCUGCGUGGAGCCAACCUUGAAAUACCACCCUUUAAUGUUUGAUGUUCUAACGUUGGCCCCUUACCGGGGUUGCGGACAGUGUCUGGUGGGUAGUUUGACUGGGGCGGUCUCCUCCCAAAGCGUAACGGAGGAGCACGAAGGUUAGCUAAUCCUGGUCGGACAUCAGGAGGUUAGUGCAAUGGCAUAAGCUAGCUUGACUGCGAGCGUGACGGCGCGAGCAGGUGCGAAAGCAGGUCAUAGUGAUCCGGUGGUUCUGAAUGGAAGGGCCAUCGCUCAACGGAUAAAAGGUACUCCGGGGAUAACAGGCUGAUACCGCCCAAGAGUUCAUAUCGACGGCGGUGUUUGGCACCUCGAUGUCGGCUCAUCACAUCCUGGGGCUGAAGUAGGUCCCAAGGGUAUGGCUGUUCGCCAUUUAAAGUGGUACGCGAGCUGGGUUUAGAACGUCGUGAGACAGUUCGGUCCCUAUCUGCCGUGGGCGCUGGAGAAUUGAGGGGGGCUGCUCCUAGUACGAGAGGACCGGAGUGGACGCAUCACUGGUGUUCGGGUUGUCAUGCCAAUGGCACUGCCCGGUAGCUAAAUGCGGAAGAGAUAAGUGCUGAAAGCAUCUAAGCACGAAACUUGCCCCGAGAUGAGUUCUCCCUGAGACUUUAAGUCUCCUGAAGGAACGUUAAAGACGAUGACGUUGAUAGGCCGGGUGUGUAAGCGCAGCGAUGCGUUGAGCUAACCGGUACUAAUGAACCGUGAGGCUUAACCUUACAACGCCGAAG